RNAcentral lists this transfer RNA (74 nucleotides) under Thermoplasmatales archaeon SW_10_69_26. RNAcentral describes it as "tRNA-Val". It matches the Rfam family "tRNA". Rfam says of the family: Transfer RNA (tRNA) molecules are approximately 80 nucleotides in length. Their secondary structure includes four short double-helical elements and three loops (D, anti-codon, and T loops). The record is from RNAcentral. Lineage: Archaea; Methanobacteriati; Thermoplasmatota; Thermoplasmata; Thermoplasmatales.
GGGCCCGUAGUCUAGUUGGUUAUGACACCUCCUUGACAUGGAGGAGGUCACCUGUUCGAAUCAGGUCGGGCCCA